ACGGAGGGUGCAAGCGUUAUCCGGAUUCACUGGGUUUAAAGGGUGCGUAGGCGGGUAGGUAAGUCAGCGGUGAAAUCCCCGAGCUUAACUUGGGAACUGCCGUUGAUACUAUUUAUCUUGAAUGUUGUGGAGGUUAGCGGAAUAUGUCAUGUAGCGGUGAAAUGCUUAGAUAUGACAUAGAACACCCAUUGCGAAGGCAGCUAACUACGCAAAUAUUGACGCUGAGGCACGAAAGCGUGGGGAUCAAACAGGAUUAGAUACCCUGGUAGUCCACGCCCUAAACGAUGAUUACUCGACAUUGGCGAUACACAGUCAGUGUCUGAGCGAAAGCAUUAAGUAAUCCACCUGGGAAGUACGAUCGCAAGAUUG
RNAcentral lists this ribosomal RNA (369 nucleotides) under uncultured bacterium. Its description in RNAcentral is "bacterial SSU rRNA". It matches the Rfam family "Bacterial small subunit ribosomal RNA", at positions 525 to 896 of the family's 1533-position model. The record is from RNAcentral.